This 135-nucleotide ribosomal RNA is filed under the name uncultured bacterium. RNAcentral describes it as "partial 16S ribosomal RNA". It matches the Rfam family "Bacterial small subunit ribosomal RNA", at positions 355 to 507 of the family's 1533-position model. The record is from RNAcentral.
UGGGGAAUAUUGGACAAUGGGCGCAAGCCUGAUCCAGCAAUACCGCGUGAGUGAUGAAGGUCUUCGGAUCGUAAAGCUCUUUUAGUGGAGAAGAUAAUGACGGUAUCCACAGAAAAAGCACCGGCAAACUUCGUG